RNAcentral lists this transfer RNA (47 nucleotides) under Vibrio parahaemolyticus Peru-288. Its description in RNAcentral is "partial tRNA-OTHER". It matches the Rfam family "tRNA", at positions 1 to 46 of the family's 71-position model. Rfam says of the family: Transfer RNA (tRNA) molecules are approximately 80 nucleotides in length. Their secondary structure includes four short double-helical elements and three loops (D, anti-codon, and T loops). RNAcentral also lists the same sequence under 1 other name. Lineage: Bacteria; Pseudomonadati; Pseudomonadota; Gammaproteobacteria; Vibrionales; Vibrionaceae. The record is from RNAcentral.
GCCGACUUAGCUCAGUAGGUAGAGCAACUGACUUGUAAUCAGUAGGU